This 253-nucleotide ribosomal RNA is filed under the name uncultured bacterium. Its description in RNAcentral is "partial 16S ribosomal RNA". It matches the Rfam family "Bacterial small subunit ribosomal RNA", at positions 524 to 776 of the family's 1533-position model. The record is from RNAcentral.
UACAAAGGUCUCAAGCGUUGUUCGGAUUCAUUGGGCGUAAAGGGUGCGUAGGCGGCGCGGUAAGUCGGGUGUGAAAUCUUGGAGCUUAACUCCGAAACUGCAUUCGAUACUGCCGUGCUUGAGGACUGGAGAGGAGACUGGAAUUCAUGGUGUAGCAGUGAAAUGCGUAGAGAUCAUGAGGAAGACCAGUGGCGAAGGCGGGUCUCUGGACAGUUCCUGACACUGAGACACGAAGGCCAGGGGAGCAAACGGG